AUACGUAGGGGGCGAGCGUUGUCCGGAAUUACUGGGCGUAAAGAGCUCGUAGGUGGUUUGUCGCGUCGUCUGUGAAAUUCCGGGGCUUAACUCCGGGCGUGCAGGCGAUACGGGCAUACUUUGAGUACUGUAGGGGAGACCGGAAUUCCUGGGGUAGGGGUGAAAUGCGCAGAUAUCAGGAGGAACACCGGUGGCGAAGGCGGGUCUCUGGGCAGUAACUGACGCUGAGGAGCGAAAGCAUGGGUAGCGAACAGGAUUAGAUACCCUGGUAGUCCAUGCCGUAAACGGUGGGCGCUAGGUGUAGGGGUCUUCCACGACUUCUGUGCCGUAGCUAACGCAUUAAGCGCCCCGCCUGGGGAGUACGGCCGCAAGGCUAAAACUCAAAUGAAUUGACGGGG
This 398-nucleotide ribosomal RNA is filed under the name uncultured bacterium. RNAcentral's name for it is "partial 16S ribosomal RNA". It matches the Rfam family "Bacterial small subunit ribosomal RNA", at positions 523 to 918 of the family's 1533-position model. The record is from RNAcentral.